This is a long non-coding RNA of Metopolophium dirhodum (rose-grain aphid), 478 nucleotides long. RefSeq lists it as uncharacterized. The transcript has 3 exons. NCBI's taxonomy places the organism in Eukaryota, Metazoa, Arthropoda, Insecta, Hemiptera, Aphididae. The record is from RefSeq and is a predicted model, not a curated record.
GUCCUGGAUAACUACUUGAAUAUUCAUAAAACUGAAUAUUUUAAUGAAAUCUACGUACAAUUCCCAAUAACACACCAGACAUUUCAGCUCUUCCAUUAACUUGUUUACCUAGAAUACAUGAUAGUAUUGACUACACUUUUUCUCCUAGAACAUCAACAUAACUUCCUAGUGAAAAAUCUAGAUAUUUAGAUUCUCCUUUGGGUUUCAUAAGUCCUUAUUCUUCAGUUUGGUACGAAGAAAUACCCAGAAACGUACGCCAACAAUUGAAGAAUGAGAAAGAAAUUCAAUUUUAUCUCGCUGUGUGAAAAACAUUUACUGUCACCCAGUAGUACAAUCUCAAACAAUGUGCAACGCGAGAAACCCUUAUGGUUUGGUACACAAAUUAUAUGAAACAAUUAGUGUUAACAAUCUACUUCUCAGACCUACAUCUCAUAAAUCAAGGAUAAAAUGUGAGUCUAUUUUGCAGUCAAAACUUAUG